AGCCCUUUGUCGCUAAGAU
Molecule: small nuclear RNA, 19 nt
Filed under: Arabidopsis thaliana (thale cress)
Lineage: Eukaryota; Viridiplantae; Streptophyta; Magnoliopsida; Brassicales; Brassicaceae
Description: snRNA_03834
Source: RNAcentral